RNAcentral lists this long non-coding RNA (593 nucleotides) under Ananas comosus (pineapple). RNAcentral's name for it is "long non-coding RNA (ACOM_LNC037795)". Lineage: Eukaryota; Viridiplantae; Streptophyta; Magnoliopsida; Poales; Bromeliaceae. The record is from RNAcentral.
AGCUCAAAUUUGACAGACAAGCUCGGUUUAACGUACUGAGUAAGAAUAUAUCUUAAUUUUUCAUUUUCGACCCCGUUUGGUUAUUGAAAACUGUACCGAACUAUAAUCUUUAUCAGAUAGCUGUCGGAUUUUAUUUCUCACUUUACGUGUGUCAGAAAAAUAUAAAACUUUAAGUCUAGUCUCAUAAAAAUAUUUCUUACUUAUCCUCCAAUUUUCAUAAUUUUCUGACACUAUGCAUUUUCUGCUAAUUUAUCUGCCCCGUUUUCAACAGAAAAUUCUAAAUCUUCUGUUUUCGCUCCGAUUUCAGCACGGGUCAUUUCCAAAUUAUAUUUCACUUCUCUAAAUCCAAUAAAAAUAGUAUCUCAUACUAUUUUUAUUUAUUUUCAUUUUUAUAUUUAAAAUUCAGUAUAUUACAUUCCACCGCAAUCUCUCCGGAACCAUUCAAAUGGCUUUCAAACCAAAUGUACACCGUAACAUCAUAAUUUUAGAAGUCCGGUACCUUACAUUCUCCCCUCCUUAAAAGAGUUUCGUCCUCGAAACUAUCUCACUUCAAUUCCAAUUCAUACCCCAACUCAACUUAUCAAAUAGUCGAG